Small nucleolar RNA from Echinops telfairi (small Madagascar hedgehog), 110 nucleotides. RefSeq annotates it as small nucleolar RNA SNORD90. The record is from RefSeq and is a predicted model, not a curated record. The transcript has a single exon. Lineage: Eukaryota; Metazoa; Chordata; Mammalia; Afrosoricida; Tenrecidae.
AAAUAAGUGCUCUAAGUGUCUAAUGAUGAAUUUCAUAGGGCAGAUUCUGAGGUGGAAACGUAAUUCACCAUUGAUACUCUUACUAUGAAUCUGAAGACACAUGGAAACUU